GACGAACGCUGGCGGCGUGCUUAACACAUGCAAGUCGAACGGAAAGGCCCUGCUUUUGUGGGGUGCUCGAGUGGCGAACGGGUGAGUAACACGUGAGUAACCUGCCCUUGACUUUGGGAUAACUUCAGGAAACUGGGGCUAAUACCGGAUAGGAGCUCCUGCUGCAUGGUGGGGGUUGGAAAGUUUCGGCGGUUGGGGAUGGACUCGCGGCUUAUCAGCUUGUUGGUGGGGUAGUGGCUUACCAAGGCUUUGACGGGUAGCCGGCCUGAGAGGGUGACCGGCCACAUUGGGACUGGGAUACGGCCCAGACUCCUACGGGAGGCAGCAGUGGGGAAUAUUGCACAAUGGGCGGAAGCCCGAUGCAGCAACGCCGCGUGCGGGAUGACGGCCUUCGGGUUGUAAACCGCUUUCGCCUGUGACGAAGCGUGAGUGACGGUAAUGGGUAAAGAAGCACCGGCUAACUACGUGC
Molecule: ribosomal RNA, 469 nt
Filed under: uncultured bacterium
Lineage: Bacteria
Description: partial 16S ribosomal RNA
Rfam family: Bacterial small subunit ribosomal RNA
Source: RNAcentral